Molecule: ribosomal RNA, 905 nt
Filed under: Pseudocercospora macadamiae
Lineage: Eukaryota; Fungi; Ascomycota; Dothideomycetes; Mycosphaerellales; Mycosphaerellaceae
Description: eukaryotic LSU rRNA
Rfam family: Eukaryotic large subunit ribosomal RNA (bases 1-529)
Source: RNAcentral
AUUUGAAAUCUGGCGCAAGCCCGAGUUGUAAUUUGUAGAGGAUGCUUCUGGGUAGCGGCCGGUCUAAGUUCCUUGGAACAGGACGUCAUAGAGGGUGAGAAUCCCGUAUGUGACUGGCUUGCACCCUCCACGUAGCUCCUUCGACGAGUCGAGUUGUUUGGGAGUGCAGCUCUAAAUGGGAGGUAAAUUUCUUCUAAAGCUAAAUACCGGCCAGAGACCGAUAGCGCACAAGUAGAGUGAUCGAAAGAUGAAAAGCACUUUGGAAAGAGAGUUAAAAAGCACGUGAAAUUGUUGAAAGGGAAGCGCCCGCAACCAGACUUUGCGGCAGUGUUCGGCCGGUCUUCUGACCGGUUUACUCGCUGUUCGUGAGGCCAUCAUCGUCUGGGACCGCUGGAUAAGACCUUAGGAAUGUGGCUCCCCUCGGGGAGCUGUUAUAGCCUCUGGAGAUGCAGCUCGCCCCGGGCGAGGUCCGCGCUUCGGAAGUGAUGAUGGCGAAAUGCUUGUCGCCUCCCCCGUCUUGAAACACUGGACUUCAGGAGUCUAACAUCAUAUGCGAGUGUUCGGGUGUCACCCCCCCUACUAUGCACUGUACUCAAAUCGGAGGUGGGAACAUUUUUGAUGCACCAUCGACCGCAUCAAUGAUGUUCCUCGGAUGGAUUCUGAUUUCAUAGCAUAGUAUGGUUUUGACCCCGAAAAACGCUCGACCUAGGCCUGAGAUAUCCUUGAAGCCCGUGAUGUACAACUCUGGGCGAGGCACGACCCUUAUUCUGAUCGAUGCAUAAUCGAUCGCGCAGAAUCUUGCGCAUGAGGACGCGAAAGCACUCAAUCAGAGCAUAUAGUACGCCUCCUACCUGGACGCACAUUUCCCUACAGGUAAAGUGAACGUUCUCAAGCUAUUGAUGAGG